RNAcentral lists this transfer RNA (65 nucleotides) under Mesovelia sp. 2117. RNAcentral's name for it is "tRNA-Leu". The record is from RNAcentral. Lineage: Eukaryota; Metazoa; Arthropoda; Insecta; Hemiptera; Mesoveliidae.
UCUAGUAUGGCAGAAUAGUGCAACGAAUUUAAGCUCCGUAUAUAAAGAAAAAUCUUUUAUUAGAA